Molecule: ribosomal RNA, 842 nt
Filed under: uncultured bacterium
Lineage: Bacteria
Description: bacterial SSU rRNA
Rfam family: Bacterial small subunit ribosomal RNA
Source: RNAcentral
AGAGUUUGAUCAUGGCUCAGGACGAACGCUGGCGGUAUGCUUAACACAUGCAAGUCGAACGAGACAAAAGAGAAGUGCUUGCACGGAUCUUUUAGAAAGUGGCGAACGGGUGAGUAACGCGUGGGUAACCUACCCUAUGGAAAGGAAUAGCCUCGGGAAACUGGGAGUAAUGCCUUAUAAGAUAUAUUUGUCGCAUGGCAGAUGUAUUAAACGCUCCGGUGCCAUAGGAUGGACCCGCGUCCCAUUAGCUAGUUGGUGAGAUAACAGCUCACCAAGGCGACGAUGGGUAACCGGUCUGAGAGGGCGAACGGUCACACUGGAACUGAGACACGGUCCAGACUCCUACGGGAGGCAGCAGUGGGGAAUAUUGCGCAAUGGGGGAAACCCUGACGCAGCAAUACCGCGUGAGUGAAGAAGGUUUUCGGAUCGUAAAGCUCUGUUAUUGGGGAAGAAAAAAAGACGGUACCCAAGAAGAAAGUCCCGGCUAACUACGUGCCAGCAGCCGCGGUAAUACGUAGGGGACAAGCGUUGUCCGGAUUUACUGGGCGUAAAGGGCACGCAGGCGGUUUUUUAAGUCAGAUGUGAAAGGUACCGGCUCAACCGGUGACAUGCAUUUGAAACUGAAAGACUUGAGUAUUGGAGAGGCAAGUGGAAUUCCUAGUGUAGCGGUGAAAUGCGUAGAUAUUAUGAGGAACACCGGUGGCGAACGCGGCUUGCUGGACAAAUACUGACGCUGAGUGCGAAAGCGUGGGGAGCAAACAGGAUUAGAUACCCUGGUAGUCCACGCCGUAACGAUGAGUGCUAGGUGUUGGGGAGACUCAGUGCCGCAGCUAACGCAAUAA